RNAcentral lists this ribosomal RNA (460 nucleotides) under uncultured bacterium. RNAcentral's name for it is "partial 16S ribosomal RNA". It matches the Rfam family "Bacterial small subunit ribosomal RNA", at positions 338 to 795 of the family's 1533-position model. The record is from RNAcentral.
CCUACGGGUGGCAGCAGUGAGGAAUAUUGGUCAAUGGGCGCGAGCCUGAACCAGCCAAGCAGCGUGAAGGAUGACUGUCCUACGGGUUGUCAACUUCUUUUAUAAAGGAAUAAAGUGAGGCACGUGUGCCUUUUUGUAUGUACUUUAUGAAUAAGGAUCGGCUAACUCCGUGCCAGCAGCCGCGGUAAUACGGAGGAUCCGCGCGUUAUCCGGAUUUAUUGGGGUUCAAGGGUGCUGAGGUGGGUUGGUAAGUCAGUUGUGAAAGUUUGCGGCUCAACCGUAAGAUUGCAAUUGAUACUGGCAGCCUUGAGUACAGGUGAGGUAGGCGGAAUUCGUGGUGUAGCGGUGAAAUGCUUAGAUAUCACGAAGAACGCCGAUUGCGAAGGCAGCUUACUACACUGCCACUGACAUUGAGGCUCGAAAGUGUGGGUAUCAAACAGGAUUAGAUACCCCAGUAGUC